This 338-nucleotide unclassified non-coding RNA is filed under the name soil metagenome. RNAcentral describes it as "partial contains 5.8S ribosomal RNA, internal transcribed spacer 2, and large subunit ribosomal RNA". The stretch from base 1 to 121 matches the Rfam family "5.8S ribosomal RNA", at positions 35 to 154 of the family's 154-position model. The record is from RNAcentral.
GAUGAAGAACGUAGCGAAAUGCGAUAAGUAAUGCGAAUUGCAGAAUUUCCGUGAGUCAUCGAAUCUUUGAACGCACAUUGCGCCCAUUAGUAUUCUAGUGGGCAUGCCUGUUCGAGCGUCAUUUCAACCCUUAAGCCUAGCUUAGUGUUGGGAAUCUGCUGUAUUGCAGUUCCUCAAAUACAACGGCGGAUCUGUAACAUCCUCUGAGCGUAGUAAAUUUUUAUCUCGCUUUUGUUAGGUGUUGCAGCUCUCAGCCGCUAAACCCCCCAAUUUUUGUGGUUGACCUCGGAUCAGGUAGGAAUACCCGCUGAACUUAAGCAUAUCAAUAAGCGGAGGAA